GAUGAACGCUGGCGGCGUGCCUAACACAUGCAAGUCGAGCGAACAGACGCUGAGCUUGCUCGUCUCACGUUAGCCGCGCACGUGUGAGUAACAUGUGUAUACUCCACCUAUAUUACUGAGAUAAUCUCGGGACUGCGGAGCAUACCCCGGAGGAUCUACUGCACCGUAUGGGUCGUUAGCGAAAUUCGGCUUUUCUGGCACUUAUAGAUGGAUCCGCGCCGCAUUAGCUAGUUGGUAAGGUAACGGCUUACCAAGGCAACGAUGCGUAGCCGACCUGAGAGGGUGAUCGGCCACACUGGAACUGAGACACGGUCCAGACUCCUACGGGAGGCAGCAGUAGGGAAUCUUCCGCAAUGGGCGAAAGCUUGACGGAGCAACGCCGCGUGAGUGAUGAAGGUCUUCGGAUCGUAAAACUCUGUUAUUAGGGAAGAACAAAUGUGUAAGUAACUAUGCACGUCUUGACGGUACCUAAUCAGAAAGCCACGGCUAACUACGUG
RNAcentral lists this ribosomal RNA (497 nucleotides) under uncultured bacterium. Its description in RNAcentral is "partial 16S ribosomal RNA". It matches the Rfam family "Bacterial small subunit ribosomal RNA", at positions 28 to 507 of the family's 1533-position model. The record is from RNAcentral.